UAUCGUCGCUCGCACGCUUCCUCCUCCCAAUCCUCUCGCUCGCUGUCCUCCCAAUCCCCUCGUCGCUCUCCUCUCUCCCACCCUGCUUUGCUGCCAUCCACCCUCCUCCUCCACCGUUCGGGUCACCGCGCGCGUCUCUCAGUCGAGCUCGCAGCGCCGCAUCGCCAGGAGGAAUCCCAGGCCGCCGCUCGCAACACCACCUCGCGCCAUCACCGGGAGUAGCAGCACUGGACUUCGCCUCUUCCAGCCCCGCAACCACACAGCCUCUGAGCAUAAGAGAGAAGAGGGAUGGAGUAAUAUAGACCGAAGCAUGAGAAGAAGAUAAAGGAGCAGAUACGUUUCCUCCAUCUCUGGUCCUCUUUAUGUGCGCUUGCAGAUUCAUCAAGAGAUGAUAGAAGGGACUGAGACAAGGAGAGACGGCAUUGAUUUGCACGCACUGGAGCAUGUGCCCGAUGGCUUGAUUGCACUGCAGGAUUUCCUGUUCAUGUAUUAUUCAAAGUAGAGCUGAGUGGAUUGCAGAAUUGCACUGGUGCAUAUGUGCUUCUGCAUCAGGUCACGGUCCAUCUGCCCCAGUAGCUCUUGGUGGGAGAUGUACGUUCCAAUGAAUAGAAUUUUCCAUUUAUAUGUGAGGGCUUCAUUAUUCUCUAAAAUCAAUUGAAGAUUGAUCUGAACCAAGAAGCAACUGUGUAUCAGAUUCAGGGUUAUUCUUCGUGCGGCGCAUUGGCUACAACUAUGGGCAUAUCUGCUCCCGUCGGACCAGCGUGAUACUAUGGUUACUGGAUGCAACCGGCUCCUGGAGGUCACUCAGGACUGCUAUUUCCAGGCUACUGGAUGGCGUCACAUUAGCAGGAUUCUAGACGGAUAGUUUUGGUCUUAUAUUCGUCUGCAGAUGUUUCGAUCCGUUUUGUUUUAGUGAUCUUUGUUUACCAGACAUGUUCUUUGUAAUAAGCACUUGACUUUAACGUUUAUUUUAUUAAUAAAGGGCUGUGUGCAUCGAUUGAUGCAGAGGCCGGGGCCAUGCUCCCAUAUCUAAAAAAAAAAAAAA
Molecule: long non-coding RNA, 1045 nt
Organism: Lolium perenne
Lineage: Eukaryota; Viridiplantae; Streptophyta; Magnoliopsida; Poales; Poaceae
Source: RefSeq, a predicted model, not a curated record